This 23-nucleotide non-coding RNA is filed under the name Cricetulus griseus (Chinese hamster). The record is from RNAcentral. Lineage: Eukaryota; Metazoa; Chordata; Mammalia; Rodentia; Cricetidae.
AGAACAUACACUGAUCCCCUCUG